This is a non-coding RNA of Vicia faba (fava bean), 272 nucleotides long. The record is from the annotation of a GenBank genome assembly. Lineage: Eukaryota; Viridiplantae; Streptophyta; Magnoliopsida; Fabales; Fabaceae.
GUGAAGAACAGAGCGCCUCUCUUUCUGCUUACUCAUUUCGCCGCCGUUUUGUCUGCAUCGUAUCACUCUUUCACCUUUCUCAACUUCUUCAUCACUUGCCUAGACCGUCGUGGCCAUUACGUAGCCAUCACCUUCUCGCUCCUCAUUCGCUAACCAUAACAGUGUCACCAUUGUUCUUAUUCUUCUCCAUUCAUCACCGAUCUCAAACAUCGACUCCACCAACACAUCUCAAAGACCGAAUAAAUGGCAAUAGCAGAGGCAAAGAAAAAUGA